ACUCCUACGGGAGGCAGCAGUGGGGAAUAUUGCACAAUGGGGGAAACCCUGAUGCAGCCAUGCCGCGUGUGUGAAGAAGGCCUUCGGGUUGUAAAGCACUUUCAGUAGGGAGGAAGGUAGUGUAGUUAACACCUGCAUUAUUUGACGUUACCUACAGAAGAAGCACCGGCUAACUCCGUGCCAGCAGCCGCGGUAAUACGGAGGGUGCGAGCGUUAAUCGGAAUUACUGGGCGUAAAGCGCAUGCAGGCGGCCUGUUAAGUCAGAUGUGAAAGCCCGGGGCUUAACCUCGGAAUUGCAUUUGAAACUGGCAGGCUAGAGUCUUGUAGGAGGGGGGUAGGAAUUUCAGGUGUAGCGGUGAAAUGCGUAGAGAU
This 372-nucleotide ribosomal RNA is filed under the name uncultured bacterium. RNAcentral's name for it is "bacterial SSU rRNA". It matches the Rfam family "Bacterial small subunit ribosomal RNA", at positions 335 to 697 of the family's 1533-position model. The record is from RNAcentral.